AGUUCGUGGAGUGAUCUGUCUGCUUAAUUGCGUUUCGCAAUGGACUUGAUAAACAAGUUGUGUUAAUCUUCCUUGUUGGCUGUUGUUUUGGUUGUUGGUGCGUUUACAUAUUUUUGAUGCUUACCCCAGUUUACUGUGCGUGUAUCGUCAGCUAUAAUCAGUGCCUUUGACUUUGAGCGACGGCUGACUUUAAUGGAGGGUUAGUGCACAUUGAGUCCUGAAAGCAACGAACGUGACCGCAUCCUUUUGUUGCCUUCUAUUUAAACAAACUUUUUUUUGUUUGCUUUUUAUUUUUCUAGUGGUAUUUAUAUUGCUGGGGGGAUUUCUUGUCGACUUUAGAUUGGAUGUUUUAACAAAGUUGGCUCUAUUUCUUUCAUUAGAAAUUAAACUAAAGGGACCGCUGCGACUUUUUUAAACCAGAGGAAGGUUGCGGCAAUAACAGGU
RNAcentral lists this ribosomal RNA (444 nucleotides) under Foraminifera sp. RNAcentral describes it as "partial small subunit ribosomal RNA". Lineage: Eukaryota; Foraminifera. The record is from RNAcentral.